UACAACAAAGGCUACAUAUUUAAAUUAAAAAACACUAAAGCGUUUUUUGUUUACUAAUAUUUGUGGCUUUUCUACUAUGUACCGGGCACUUUUCAAGGCAUAGGGCACUAGUGAACGGAACAGAUAAAGUACCUGACUUGACAGAGCUUGCAUGCUACUUCCUGGAAGAUGGACAAGAAACAAGUAAGUUUCUAGAAAAUAAAGAGGGGGAAUGUAGAGUACCUCUGUGUCAGUGGAGUGUUACUCUGUGAAGGAGGGUAAGAAAAGGGGUCUCAAAUAAUGCAACGUAUUAAAGUCAUCUGAAAAGAAGCAAGCAAGAUGUGCGGGAGAGGGUCGUUUUAGGCAGAGGGGACAACAGAUGAAAAGUCCUCAGCUGGGAGAGAGCUUGAGAUUUGUAAGGACCUGCAUAGAAGGCGCGGCUCAGGCUGAAGUAGAGCAGGACGAUAACAAAGUGAAAGAGGAGAGGCGAGGAGAGGCGGGAAGGGGCGGAGCACGUGUUUCGGAUGGGCGCAUAGAAUGGAGACUUCCGGGCCAUGUCAGGCCUUUUGCUUUUACUCAGAGAUGGAGUUUCACCACGUUGUCUAGGCUGGUCUCUAACUCCUGACCUCGUGAUCCACCUGCCUCGGCCUCCCAAAAUGCUGGGGUUACAGGCGUGAGCCACCGCGCCCAGCCCUGAUAUUCAUUUUAAAGGAAUCUCUGUGUGUAGUGUUGAUGGCAGACUUACAGGAACAGGGCAGAAGCACGGAGAGAUCAGUGAAGAGUUAAAUCCAGAACCGAGAUGCACCUGAGAGAAAUUACAUCACAUUAUUCAUCAAUGGGGGCACAUAUACAUGUGUAGAGUUGCUCUUCCGUAUCCAUGGGGGAUUGGUUCCAGGAUUCCUUCAGAUACCAGCAUGUACAGAUGCUCAAGUCCCUCAGAUUUGUCGAAGAUUAGAUAGCGAAGUCAUGGAACCAACCCAAAUGCCUAUCAACGACAGACUGGAUAAAGAAAAUGUGGUACAAAUACAUCACAGAAUACUAUGAGGCCAUAAAAAAGGAAUGGGAUCACAUCCUUUGCAGGUACAUAAAUAAUGCUGGAAGCCAUUGUCCUCAGCAAACUAACACAGGAACAGAAAACCAAACACUGCAUGCUCUCAUUCAUAAGUGGGAGCUGAACAAUGAGAACACAUGGAUACAGGGAGGGGAACACCACACACCAGGGCCUGUUGGGGGGUGAGGGAGGGCAGGGGGAGGGAAUUUAGAGGAUGGGUCAAUAGGUGCAGCAAACCACCAUGGCACACAUAUUCCUGUGUAACAAACCUGUACGUUCUGCACAUAUAUCCCAGAACUUAAAGUAAAAUAAAAAAAUAAAAUAAAAUAAAAAAUAAAACU
This 1371-nucleotide long non-coding RNA is filed under the name Homo sapiens (human). Its description in RNAcentral is "HSALNT0026527". The record is from RNAcentral. Lineage: Eukaryota; Metazoa; Chordata; Mammalia; Primates; Hominidae.